Transfer RNA from Camelus ferus (Wild Bactrian camel), 58 nucleotides. It matches the Rfam family "tRNA", at positions 8 to 63 of the family's 71-position model. Rfam says of the family: Transfer RNA (tRNA) molecules are approximately 80 nucleotides in length. Their secondary structure includes four short double-helical elements and three loops (D, anti-codon, and T loops). The record is from Rfam. Lineage: Eukaryota; Metazoa; Chordata; Mammalia; Artiodactyla; Camelidae.
UAGCUCAAGUGGUAGAGUGCAUGCUUAGCAUGCAUGAGGUCCUGGGUUCAAUCCCCAG